AUGACUAUGCUACUGUGGUUUAAGAGUUUACUAUGCUAUACUUUUCAUUGUUACAUUGAAGCAUACUUCUACCUAAAAAGUUCAGCCUGGGUAACAGAGCAAGACCCUGUCUCUAAAAACACGUGUUUUUUGUUUGUUUGUUUGUUUUUUCUUUGUUUCCUUUGUUUUGAGACAGAGUUUCCCUCUUUUCACCCAGGCUGGAGUCAGAGUGAGACUCUGUCUCAAAAAAAAUAAAAAUAAAAAUAAAAUAAAAUAAAUGUUUAAUUUCUGCCAGAAAUUUGAUUUACAUAUCAUUUACAUAUUUUUUCAUCCUACAAAAUGAUGUCAGUUUUAUUACCACAGAGCCUUUGCCUUAUAAAGUACUUAUGAUAAGGCACGGUGAGAUAGAUUAAGCAAACCCUUAAAAACUUCACAUACUUACAAUCUCUCAAAAGAGUAUUACUUUUCCUUGGGUACAAAACAUGCAUGAAUUUUUUCCCAACAGCUUUUAGAUCACGCAUCUGAAAAACAGAAACAACCUGUUGUAUUGUGAUGACCAAGGUUGUCAGCAGCCUUACUUAAUUUGCUAAAAUUUCUUUUAUUUCAAUCUCCUGUGAACUCUUCAUUGAAUUUUGCAGAUAAUUCCAGUUCAACUCCUUCACUACACAAACAAACCAGAGAGGUAGGGUAUGCUUUUUCUAUUAACUCCUUAAGCCAACUUUUAACACUUUUCCACAUCUUUUUUGAUCUGUUCUGUUUUCAUGUUGAAAAAAAAUCCAUAAAAAAGAAACACAGCCCUCCCAAUAGGCUGCUUGAAGAAACUAAAACAAUUGCACUAUAAAAAGCUGCUCUACAAAACACAGUAUGCGACAUUCAGUUCAUAGAAGAUGAGGUCUCAAGGGUCAAUUAGCCUGCUCUCUAGCUACGACAUUCUUUGCAAUAUAUGAAAUAAAUUUCUAACAUUCUCAAUUUAAUUGGUAAACAAAUCCUAGAAGCCAGAUUAAAAAAAAAAAUCACGAAACUGGAGGAAGGGUUCAGUAAUACAAAUACAACCUCUCAAAGUACCACUGAGCUAAUUCUGUUUUAGUUUUUUCACCUAGAACUUUAUCCAUGUUAUUAAACACUUUGUAAACAUAAUUUUUAAUAGUUGUUUAGCAUCCCAUCACAAAGAUAUAACAUAAUUUACCUAACCAAUACCUCAUCUAUGGUUCAUUUAUUUCUAGCUUUCCCCUAUUACAAAGAAUGCUAUAAUAAACAUCUUUGUAUAUUGAUACUUUUAUGUUGAAAAUUUUUGUUUUACAUUUUAAAACUUUCCUUAUACUAUAUUUGGAGAAGUAUGAUAAUAUAUUGGUU
RNAcentral lists this long non-coding RNA (1332 nucleotides) under Cercocebus atys (sooty mangabey). RNAcentral's name for it is "lncRNA (ENSCATG00000045827.1)". The record is from RNAcentral. Lineage: Eukaryota; Metazoa; Chordata; Mammalia; Primates; Cercopithecidae.